CAACGAUUAGGUGGCAUGACAACAUUUUAACAAGAGAAAGAUUGACAGGUCCUCUAAUGGUUUUUGCUUUAUUAAGAUAAUAAUGAUACAUAAAAAAGUCUGCUAGUCACGCACGAUUGUCAUGAUUCAUUUUCUAUCACUGGAAAGGAAAUAUAGAUGCAGACGCAGAACAAAAUAUAGCUUUGUACUCAACACAGUUAUGGAGUGAUCUGUUCAUAUAUUCGGAAACACUUGUAUUCAAGAAAUAUUCAUAGCUUCCAAGUCAUAUUAUAAUAGGUUAGCUCUCUCAUGCCUCAACUUGAACUGCAGAUCAUAGGCCUAUAUAAACCUUGUAAAUCAGAGAACUUCAUCUACUAAGCAGCUAAUCUUCUGCGGAUCAUUAUUGCUUCAAUGAAGUUCUUGGGAAUAACUUGGAUAUUAGUCUUCAUAAUGGUUCCGAGUACAGACUUUGUCCAAGCAAGCUCUCGCAUCUCGCUUCUCCUCAGCUCUGUCGACCUUGGGCCGCCAACACCACGGUUUGUAACUGUAGCAGGAUGUAACAAUGACUGUGAUACUGCUUGUUGCAAUUGUGACAUCAAGAAACAGCCGCCUCUGUGUGUGCAAUGCUGCCAAGAAGACCCUUAAUGACAUUCUUGCCUGCUCGAAGAUAUGUGUUGCUGUUGCCCCAGGAAUUGAAGCAGACAACCAUACCCUGUCAGGAUUUUUUCGUUUUUAACAGUUGUACAAAUGCAAAUCUUAGCUUCCAAGGAGAUUAAAGACUAGCCAUAGUAGAGCCGGCAAAUGAGAAAUCUUACCUCUACUAUCCUCAAGCUGUCAUGGUGUUGUGCCUUCAUUUACCAUGACUGGAGGGAAAGAUCUUUUACCAAUAUGGAUUUUAUGCUCAUUCGACUUACUUUUUUUUUAAUUAUUCACUCGACGUUGAACUCAGUUAGAACCUUGCAAUCCAAUAUUAGAAGCUAGCACUGAUGCUGAGAAAUCUGUUUGUGAAGCUUGGAAUUUGUUAAUUAGUUCUAGUUUUAUUUAACUUUAAUAUUUUGUUAAUCUGGAAGAGGAUCUUACAGCCUAAUUAACAGCAUAAAAAGAAAAGAUUAAUAGACAAAAAUGGUAUUGAUUGCCAUAAAAAAGGAAAGAAAGAAAAGGAAAGACCCUACCCUCCAAGAACAACUUCAAUAGAUGUCACCAGUCCUAAUCUAAAUGCUAUUUAAAUCAUUUUUUCCUUUUAUUUUUAGCAUAAUUCAAAUUUUAUAUUGGGUUUCUUUUUCUAUUUAGUACUCUGAUUCUUUUAGCUUGUAAAGUUAAGUUUGUGGCUUAUUCAGGGAGUAAUAAAACCAGACCAUAUGAAAAUUGUAAUUUCAAGUCUGUCUUUUUUGUUUU
Populus trichocarpa (black cottonwood) is the source of this 1374-nucleotide long non-coding RNA. RefSeq lists it as uncharacterized. The transcript has 2 exons. Lineage: Eukaryota; Viridiplantae; Streptophyta; Magnoliopsida; Malpighiales; Salicaceae. The record is from RefSeq and is a predicted model, not a curated record.